This is a non-coding RNA of Podarcis lilfordi (Lilford's wall lizard), 1426 nucleotides long. The record is from the annotation of a GenBank genome assembly. Lineage: Eukaryota; Metazoa; Chordata; Lepidosauria; Squamata; Lacertidae.
GCUCGGCUCCAUGCUCGUCUAGCAAUUGAAGGCUGGGCGAACUCGAGUCGUAGGGCUGCACCUGAGACACAUCUCGGGACGCCGGAAAGAGAUCUCAGAAACAUAUGAAGUGGACGAUCCAGGUUACCUGAUAUUGCUGUAGUCCAUACUUCACAUCCAUAUAAUAAUUUAGGGACGACUUUGGCAUUAAAUAUUUGAAUUGCUGCUGGAAGGUGUUUGCCGCCCUUCUGGUGGUAAAAUCGGACAAUGGCGUUAGAGGUCGUGGUUGCAGCGAGAAAGGCAGAUUGUAGAUGGGUGGUCCAGGAGAGAUUAUAGGUGAAUAUUAAUCCUAAAUAUUUAAAGGCUUUUACCUUUUCUAAGUAGCCACCUGUGAUCUUAAGCGGCUCCAACUUGAGUUUGCGGGAACGAGUGAAGUGGAGGACUUUCGAUUUUUAUAAUUAAUAUUAAGAGCUUCCGCCUUACAAUAGGCGAUAAAUGCAUUAACUGCAUUUGCUAGAUCCGCAGCUGUUCUGGAUAAGAUGACGGCAUCAUCAGCAUAGAAAAGGGAAGCAACGGGGUGGCCUGCUAAGUGAGGAGGAUACUUAGAUGCUAGCUUCAAAGUGGAAAUUGCAUCAUGAAGAUAGAGAUUAAACAGUAAAGGGGCCAAGAGGCAACCUUGUCGGACGCCCUUGGCCGUUGGAAAUGGAGUAGUGGGGGAGCCGUUUGGACUAGUUCGGACGCGAGCUGUGGUGUUUGAAUAAAGGGAGAUAAUUAGGGAGAGAAGGUGCGGAUCAAUUCCCAGAUGGGCAAGUUUGGACCAUAAUCUCUGCCUAGGAAUGGAAUCAAAGGCGGCCUCCAGGUCCAUGAAAGCGGCAAAUAGGUGGCCUUGCCUUGGAGCAGUGUAUUUACUGGCAAGGUGAAAGAGAGUUAGACAAUGGUCCAUGGUUGACGCUGACUUUCGGAAACCAAUCUGUUCUAGCGGUAGAAUGUUCCUCUCCUGGACCCAUGAGAGAAGUUCCUCCAGUAAAACAGCGGCAAAUAUUUUCCCCGGGAUGGAUAAUAAGCUGAUGGGGCGAUAGUUCCUAGGGAUGUUUGGCUGGCCGCCUUUGAAGAUCGGAACUAUUAUAGCUUCUCUCCAGGAGUCGGGGAUGUCUAGGGCGGAGGAGAUAGCGGUGAAUACAGGAGUCAGGUGUUCGCUCCACCAAAGAGGAUCAGUCAGGAAAAGGUCCAACGGGACCAUGUCUGGGCCGGGGGCCUUAUUCCUUUGCAUUGACAUUAUGAUGUUGAAAAUGCGAGUUGAAGUAAAGUUUAUUGAAGAAGUGGGACUAAGAGAGCAGGAACUGAGGUCCAAUGGGGAUUGAAGGAGAUCUGUAAGAUGGUUUGGAGAAGCGAAACUAGUUGAAUAAUAAGCAAUCCAUUCAUCCGCGGAAAUCUGGGUAGCUGGAUU